This is a small nuclear RNA of Fukomys damarensis (Damara mole-rat), 107 nucleotides long. The record is from Ensembl. NCBI's taxonomy places the organism in Eukaryota, Metazoa, Chordata, Mammalia, Rodentia, Bathyergidae.
GUGCUCUCUUCAGCAGCACAUAUACUAAAAUUGGAAUGAUACAGACAGGAUUAGCAUGGCCCCUGUGCAAGGAUGACGUGCAAAUUUGUGAAGCGUUCCAUAUUUUU